UCUGGCGAAGCUUGUUACAACAGCCGAGGGGGCAAACAACAUCUUUAUUGAAUUUCAUGCCAGCGAAUUAGGUGGACACUGCAGGUGGGAAAGAACCCAUUGUGCCAUUGCCAGCCGCUCUUACUGGCCGGGUAUGGAAAGGGACAUCCAACAAUGGGUUGCUCAGUGUCCUCAGUGCCAAAAGAAAAGGGCAAUGAUUAAGGAAAAGUCUGAAUACAGCCCCAUAGAGGUGACGAGCCACUGGAACUGGUGCAUAUGGAUCUAGUGGGUAAACUCACAGUAACAAAUGGUGGUAAUCAGUACAUUUGUGUAAUCAUUGAUUAUUUCACGAAAUGGGCAGAGGCCUACCCACAAAAAACAAAAUCAGCAGCUGAGGUCACCAGUUGUAUACUUGAUUUUUUUUUACAAAUUUGGUGCACCUCAAAGGCUGCUUAA
Long non-coding RNA from Cyprinodon tularosa, 435 nucleotides. RefSeq lists it as uncharacterized. The record is from RefSeq and is a predicted model, not a curated record. NCBI's taxonomy places the organism in Eukaryota, Metazoa, Chordata, Actinopteri, Cyprinodontiformes, Cyprinodontidae. The transcript is spliced from 3 exons.